UACGGGGGGGGCAAGCGUUGUUCGGAAUUACUGGGCGUAAAGGGCUCGUAGGCGGCCAUCUAAGUCAGACGUGAAAUCCCCGGGCUCAACCUGGGAACUGCAUUUGUGACUGCAUCGCUGGAGUGCGGCAGAGGGGGAUGGAAUUCCGCGUGUAGCAGUGAAAUGCGUAGAUAUGCGGAGGAACACCGAUGGCGAAGGCAAUCCCCUGGGCCUGCACUGACGCUCAUGCACGAAAGCGUGGGGAGCAAACAGG
This 253-nucleotide ribosomal RNA is filed under the name uncultured bacterium. RNAcentral's name for it is "partial 16S ribosomal RNA". It matches the Rfam family "Bacterial small subunit ribosomal RNA", at positions 524 to 776 of the family's 1533-position model. The record is from RNAcentral.